GUCCUACGGGGGGCAGCAGUGGGGAAUAUUGCACAAUGGGGGAAACCCUGAUGCAGCGACGCCGCGUGAGUGAAGAAGUAUUUCGGUACGUAAAGCUCUAUCAGCAGGGAAGAAAAGAAGACGGUACCUGAGUAAGAAGCCCCGGCUAACUACGUGCCAGCAGCCGCGGUAAUACGUAGGGGGCAAGCGUUAUCCGGAAUUACUGGGGGUAAAGGGAGCGUAGACGGCAAUGCAAGUUCGGAGUGGAAUGCAUCAGCUCAACUGAUGAACUGCUCUGAAAACUGUAUAGCUAGAGUGCAGGAGGG
This 305-nucleotide ribosomal RNA is filed under the name uncultured bacterium. Its description in RNAcentral is "bacterial SSU rRNA". It matches the Rfam family "Bacterial small subunit ribosomal RNA", at positions 335 to 656 of the family's 1533-position model. The record is from RNAcentral.